This 59-nucleotide transfer RNA is filed under the name Asteromyia carbonifera. RNAcentral's name for it is "tRNA-Leu". The record is from RNAcentral. Lineage: Eukaryota; Metazoa; Arthropoda; Insecta; Diptera; Cecidomyiidae.
UUAAUUUUAUUUUAUGUCAGAAUAAAUGAAAUGAACUUAAAAUUCAUAAAUAAGAAAUA